RNAcentral lists this long non-coding RNA (1353 nucleotides) under Equus caballus (horse). RNAcentral's name for it is "lncRNA (ENSECAG00000044481.1)". The record is from RNAcentral. Lineage: Eukaryota; Metazoa; Chordata; Mammalia; Perissodactyla; Equidae.
CAAAGACAACUGAAACCAGACCCCUCCUUAGCAUUUGUCACAUAAAUCAAUGGGGACUUGGGGCAGCUAAUCAUGGAUGUGUUUGUUGUUUAUUCCUUUUUAUGAAAACGGUUCAUAAGGAGGAAGGUAACGCGUUCUUUCUGCAGGAGUGGGACUAGUCCUGUAUGUGGUAGGAAAAGAAUGGAAACCGCGUCUGUUAUCAGGAAUCUGUACAUGAAUCAUAGCCUACAUUUUGGGGCUCUCUCAAAUCUUUCAUUUUAAUGAACUUACAUCAAGUGCCUUGCAGUGAUAAAAAGUAGUAUUUGUUUGUGUCUGCUUUGAAAAAAGAUAGGGGGCUCAUGUUUCAGUCUUACGUGGAGAUGUGAAAUGUUGAUCCAUUUACAAAGCAGAAGUCACAAACCCAGACAUGACGCAUCCAGGUCUCAUUCUCGGCUAGAUGAUUACAGGGGUGUUCGGGACCUCACACUGGACCUGUGUAUUCAUUACCAUGCGUUCUCAGUGAGACAUAAGCUGUCUUCCACGCAGUGUGCGAUGGUGGGGGGCGGACGCCAGAGUUGCUUGUGCCCCGUGAUUUCGUUGUCUGUGAACCAUGGCCAGGCUCCUGUGUUUCUGAAGCUUCUUCCCCUUCCUGCAGGCUCCUGCUUUCUGAGAAGGAGAAUGUGAAGGGACUCUUCUCUGUCCCCAGCACAGCCCUCCCUGCUGUCAUCGUGCUGGUGUGCCUCCACUGCCCCUGCUUCCCCGUAGAGGAGUGUGAGGCUCACCCACAUGCCCUAAGCCCCUGUGUGUGUGGGGGGGAGGGGGGCCCUCCAGUCAGGUACAGAAGCAAGGAGUGUGGGCUGGCUUGGUCCCACAAGAGGCCAGAGCUAACAGCUCUCUGCGCUUAGCCCUCCGUAUGUGUUUGGGGAAAACCGCCUCUUGCCUUUGACCCAACUCUGUCCUUCUGCUCCCGAGCAUGUGCUCUGCAACGCUGGACCGUGCGAGCACGUAGGGUAAGGCGAUCCGAAAUGUCCCACUUAAGGGAAUCCUGCAGUCCAGUUUCUUGAAAGCACCUCAAAGCUGGUAAACAUGUUUCCUGUCACCCUGUUGAAUGUGGGCUUCUGGAGUGAUUCAUAAAAAUGAAAUAUGUGGGUUAUGUUUUUGAUAGUAUAGAUACUGUAAAAUGUAAUUGGCUAUACGAAUCCACCAGGAUGGGGUCAUCUGAAGUUUAGGUUUCCUUUUAAUAGUUUAAUAAUCUUUUAAAAAGUAUUUAUAAGCCAAAACUAUGAGGCUAGCACCUGCUAGCCCAAACAAUUUUAUCAAGUAAUCCUAGUUUUCCUCUGAGUGGUUUCAAAGCCUAAGUAGAAGGGAGUGAGU